Molecule: transfer RNA, 77 nt
Filed under: Candidatus Anoxychlamydiales bacterium
Lineage: Bacteria; Pseudomonadati; Chlamydiota; Chlamydiia; Candidatus Anoxychlamydiales
Also listed under: 1 other name
Description: tRNA-His
Rfam family: tRNA
About the family: Transfer RNA (tRNA) molecules are approximately 80 nucleotides in length. Their secondary structure includes four short double-helical elements and three loops (D, anti-codon, and T loops).
Source: RNAcentral
GCGAUUGUAGCUCAGUUGGUUAGAGUGUCGGUUUGUGGUACCGAAAGUCGCGGGUUCGAGUCCCGUCAAUCGCCCCA